RNAcentral lists this long non-coding RNA (390 nucleotides) under Homo sapiens (human). RNAcentral describes it as "HSALNT0321272". The record is from RNAcentral. Lineage: Eukaryota; Metazoa; Chordata; Mammalia; Primates; Hominidae.
AUUCUGUCUGGUGUACUGGUAAUAUCUGGACUGGUUUAAUGGCUUGUUUCAUGGGAGAAGCGCUAAACUUUACCUCAACAUUUAUGUAAAGUUAAAGCUGCACAGAUUCUGAGUCUUGAAAGUUUAUUUCAAAGAAAAGACAAUGCCUGUGCCACAUAUUUGACUUGGUUUUAUAAAUAUUACGAAGCUCCAGGAAAUAUGAGCAGGAUCUCAAAUAUAUUCAACAAGCUUCCAAUUUUUGUCUUUUGAGAUGGUUGCUCUUGGAACACAGAAAUAUGCUUUAAGAUGUCAAGCCUCCUCUGCUGAUGCUGUAUGGAGAACAGACAAGCUUUCCCAUCAAGCCCUAACCAAACUGCAGAACUGUGAAUAAAAUCAAUAAUUGUUAUGAAA